CCCAGCCGGGCUUGCAGCCGGCGGACGAGCAGGACGAGCGGGAGGAGCGGGAGGAGCAGGAGGAGCGGGCACCCCGCCGCCCCACGUGCGCCCCGCCGUCCGGCGCCAUGGCGCGCAGGGCCCCGAGCGCCCGCGAGUCCCGGUAGCCGGCGGCGACCUCGGCCCCAUGGAGCCGCACGUGCUCGGCGCCGCGCUCUACUGGCUGCUGCUGCCUGGCUCGCUGCUGGCCGCCGCCCUGCUGCGCGUGAAUGCACUCUCGCUGGUCUACCUGCUGCUCCUGCUGCUCCUGCCAUGGCUACCCGGCCCCGCGAGGCACAGCGUGCGAGGUAAGGGGGCGUGGGGCACUUGGGGGAGGAGCACGUACACCAAGACUCGGUUUCCUUUCUUGCCGGAGACUCAGCUGUUUCUGAAUCCUUCCUGUCAUUCCCGGGCUGUGUGCAGGGACAGGAAGGGUCGUGUCUGGGGCCUCAACCUCACCAACGGCCCUGAGGAGCCACAGUGAGUGUGCAGGCCCAGUGUCCCAUCCCCGGGCGGGAAGCAUCUUAUUCCUCUGUGUGCCAAGCCCACAGGGUGGGAGGCGCCACGGGGCUAUGGCCACAUCCUGGUGGCAGCAAGGGUCACGGCCUCCUCCCUGUGGGCUUGGGCGUGGACAGGCUGCCGCCCUCCAGGCUCCUCAUGUGGGGUGGGGAGAGGCACGGUCAGGUUGACUGGCCACGGCAGCAAGGGCAGAACUUCUGGAGAGGACCCUGGCCUCUGGUCACCUGUGCUUCGGUAGCCAGCGUCUGUUUUGUGCCUUCCAGAGACCGCCAGUGCUCCAGGUUGCCCCUGAGGCUGCCCCGUGCUCCCAGGAGGUGCUGCUGUGACUGACUGGUCAUGUGACUCCCACUGGUCCUGGAGUUGGACCUUAGCGGCUAGGGUGGGCAGGGCCGCACUCGGGAGGCUCUGGGACUGGUUUCCUUGUCUCGGCUGCUGGCUGCUGGGGGCUCUCGCUGUCCUCGGCGCCUGGGCCUGUCCCACAGAACCCGUAAGGGCCGGCUGCUGUCCCCUGGAACGUGUGCUCCUUCUGUGAGGCUGUGGGCAGCCUCAGCCCACUGCACCCUAAGCCCAUCAGAGGCCCAUGGGGCCCGGAGAUUGGGCCGGAGAUGCCUCGGACCCAUCACUGAGUGGGGAAGACAGGCACCCUCCCGGCCUCAUGCGGAGGCCCUGCCCUCCCAGCUCAGAGGCUUUGGAACCAGCACUGGCCUCAGGGUGUGGGUAGCCUUCUGGGGUUCUGGGAACAGUGAGGGGAUUUUGUUGGGCUUGGCUCAAGCAAGUGCUGGAGCCACUGGGACCCAGGAAAGGACCCCCAGGACAUGUGGCUGGGGUGUGCAGGGCCGAGGCCCAGCCCAGCAGGAAGCCAUCAGCCUGUGGAUGUUGGGGCCUCAAACCCCUGGGUGUCCCCCAUCCCAUGUGGGGAGUGUGGGUCCUGGCCAGGUAGAGGAGGGUGGCAGUGGGAGAUGGCUGCCUGACCCUCUGUCUGCCCAUCUGUCCUGCUCAGAGGCCCUUCAGGGACAGACACUGCCCGGUUUUUCCAGGCAGAGAGAGGAAAAUGUGAG
This is a long non-coding RNA of Heterocephalus glaber (naked mole-rat), 1595 nucleotides long. NCBI's taxonomy places the organism in Eukaryota, Metazoa, Chordata, Mammalia, Rodentia, Bathyergidae. The record is from Ensembl.